UACGUAGGGGGCAAGCGUUGUUCGGAUUUACUGGGCGUAAAGCGCGUGUAGGCGGUGCGUUAAGUCAGCCGUGAAAGCCCUAGGCUUAACCUAGGAAAGUCGGCUGAUACUGACGUGCUAGAGUGCAGAAGGGGCAACUGGAAUUCUCGGUGUAGCGGUGAAAUGCGUAGAUAUCGAGAGGAACACCGGUGGCGAAGGCGAGUUGCUGGUCUGACACUGACGCUGAGACGCGAAAGCUAGGGGAGCAAACAGG
RNAcentral lists this ribosomal RNA (253 nucleotides) under uncultured bacterium. RNAcentral describes it as "partial 16S ribosomal RNA". It matches the Rfam family "Bacterial small subunit ribosomal RNA", at positions 524 to 776 of the family's 1533-position model. The record is from RNAcentral.